CCCACUGCCUGGAGGUGCCUGGACUAGGUCACAAAGGGGAAAGGCUCUGGAUGGAACAAGGGAGUGCAAAAAGCACCAGAGAGGUUUCGUGGGUGGCUGAGGCCAGCAAGGGAUGCGCAUGUGAUCUUGUUCAGGCCAGGGAAAUAUGAGGAGUUGUCUUCUGGGAAUGCUGGACCCAAUUUCUUUGGUCAUGACAGAGAUUCAGGAAGAGCUCUGCCAAACAGGAUCACCACAGCUACCUUGCCUCCAUCGGGAUGUGGAGGCCACCACACAGAAGAAGAAGAGUGAAGGGCACUGCAGGAACUGUGUCUGGGAGUGCUCGAAGUGAUAAAGGGAGCAUAGACCUGAAGUUAGAAGGACCAGGUUUCAUGGGAGCCUCUGAGGUUAUUAGCCCCAGGCGGUGGGGAAAGUCACCCGACCUCUUCGAGACUUUUUUCACUUGCUGUGUGAUACAGUAAGUAAUAUUGCAGCCUGCUUGACAAGGUGGUUGUUGGCAUCAAAAUUUGAUGUUUGAAAAUAGUUUGCUCUCAAAAAAUCUUCCAAGUGGGAUUCAUUAUUAUUUUCACCGUCAUCAUUAUUAUUGUAUUCUUUAGGGGUCCCAGCAAAGUACAUUAUUUAUCUCAGGAAAUACCAUGUUCUAGAAAAUACCGAUUUUAGAAAAGAUGAUACACUGAUUGAAAUACUACGGGAGAGGUUUAGCUUAACGAACUUACAGGAGUUAUA
Long non-coding RNA from Fukomys damarensis (Damara mole-rat), 723 nucleotides. RefSeq lists it as uncharacterized. The transcript has 3 exons. The record is from RefSeq and is a predicted model, not a curated record. Lineage: Eukaryota; Metazoa; Chordata; Mammalia; Rodentia; Bathyergidae.